CCUACGGGAGGCUGCAGUGAGGAAUAUUGGUCAAUGGGCGGAAGCCUGAACCCGCCAAGUAGCGUGCAGGAUGACGGCCCUACGGGUUGUAAACUGCUUUUAUACGGGAAUAACGCGCCUUAAGUGUAGGGCUUUGCAUGUACCUUAUGAAUAAGGACCGGCUAAUUCAGUGCCAGCAGCCGCGGUAAUACGGAAGGUCCGGGCUUUAUCCGGAUUUAUUGGGUGUAAGGGGAGCUUAGGCCGGCUGUCAAGUUUGCUGUGAAAUGUCCGGGCUCAACCCGGGCCUUGCAGCGAGAACUGGCGUGCUUGAGUCCGCGGAAAGCAGGCGGAAUUCGUCGUGUAGCGGUGAAAUGCUUAGAUAUGACGAAGAACCCCGAUUGCGAAGGCAGCUUGCUGCAGCGGAACUGACGCUGAUGCUCGAAAGCGCGGGUAUCGAACAGGAUUAGAUACCCUUGUAGUC
Molecule: ribosomal RNA, 460 nt
Filed under: uncultured bacterium
Lineage: Bacteria
Description: partial 16S ribosomal RNA
Rfam family: Bacterial small subunit ribosomal RNA
Source: RNAcentral